CUAGAUACAAGCGAGCGGCGGACGGGGUGAGUAACACGGUGGGUAACCUGACCCCAAGAGACUGGGAUAACACCUGGAAAACAGAUGCUAAUACCGGAUAACAACACUAGACGCAUGUCUAGAGUUUUGAAAAGAUUAGGGUUCUGCUAUCACUCUUGGAUGGACCUGCGGUGCAUUAGCUAGUUGGUAAGGUAACGGCUUACCAAGGCAAUGAUGCAUAGCCGAGUUUGAGAGACUGAUCGGCCACAUUGGGACUGAGACACGGCCCAAACUCCUACGGGAGGCAGCAGUAGGGAAUCUUCCACAAUGGACGAAAGUCUGAUGGAGCAACGCCGCGUGAGUGAAGAAGGGUUUCGGCUCGUAAAGCUCUGUUGGUAGUGAAGAAAGAUAGAGGUAGUAACUGGCCUUUAUUUGACGGUAAUUACUUAGAAAGUCACGGCUAACUACGUGCC
This 452-nucleotide ribosomal RNA is filed under the name uncultured bacterium. RNAcentral describes it as "bacterial SSU rRNA". It matches the Rfam family "Bacterial small subunit ribosomal RNA", at positions 80 to 509 of the family's 1533-position model. The record is from RNAcentral.